GACGAACGCUGGCGGCGUGCUUAACACAUGCAAGUCGAACGGUGAACGAGGGAGCUUGCUCCCUCCGGAUCAGUGGCGAACGGGUGAGUAACACGUGAGCAAUCUGCCCCGAACUCUGGGAUAAGCGUUGGAAACGACGUCUAAUACCGGAUACGACGCUGGAGGGCAUCCUCUCCGCGUGGAAAGAACUGCGGUUCGGGAUGAGCUCGCGUCCUAUCAGUUUGUGGGUGAGGUAGGGGCUCACCAAGGAGGGGACGGGUAGCCGGCCGGAGAGGGGGAGCGGCGACAGGGGGACUGAGAGAAGGCCGAGAAUACUAAGGGAGGCAGGAGGGGGGAAUAGUGCAAAAUGGGCGGAAGGCUUAUGAAGCAAAGCAGCGAGCGGGAGGACGGCCGUCGGGGUGGAAAACGCUUUCGACGGGGACGAAGCGUGAGUGACGGUAAUGGGUAAAGAAGCACCGGCUAACUACGUG
This 470-nucleotide ribosomal RNA is filed under the name uncultured bacterium. RNAcentral describes it as "partial 16S ribosomal RNA". It matches the Rfam family "Bacterial small subunit ribosomal RNA", at positions 28 to 507 of the family's 1533-position model. The record is from RNAcentral.